UGGGGAAUAUUGGACAAUGGGCGAAAGCCUGAUCCAGCCAUGCCGCGUGUGUGAAGAAGGUCUUCGGAUUGUAAAGCACUUUAAGUUGGGAGGAAGGGCAGUAAGCGAAUACCUUGCUGUUUUGACGUUACCGACAGAAUAAGCACCGGCUAACUCUGUGCCAGCAGCCGCGGUAAUACAGAGGGUGCAAGCGUUAGUCGGAAUUACUGGGCGUAAAGCGCGCGUAGGUGGUUCGUUAAGUUGAAUGUGAAAGCCCCGGGCUCAACCUGGGAACUGCAUCCAAAACUGGCGAGCUAGAGUAGGGCAGAGGGUGGUGGAAUUUCCUGUGUAGCGGUGAAAUGCGUAGAUAUAGGAAGGAACACCAGUGGCGAAGGCGACCACCUGGGCUCAUACUGACACUGAGGUGCGAAAGCGUGGGGAGCAAACAGG
Molecule: ribosomal RNA, 429 nt
Filed under: Pseudomonadota bacterium
Lineage: Bacteria; Pseudomonadati; Pseudomonadota
Description: Proteobacteria bacterium partial 16S ribosomal RNA
Rfam family: Bacterial small subunit ribosomal RNA
Source: RNAcentral